RNAcentral lists this ribosomal RNA (252 nucleotides) under uncultured Sandonidae. RNAcentral describes it as "partial 18S ribosomal RNA". The stretch from base 98 to 252 matches the Rfam family "Eukaryotic small subunit ribosomal RNA", at positions 796 to 955 of the family's 1831-position model. The record is from RNAcentral. Lineage: Eukaryota; Cercozoa; Glissomonadida; Viridiraptoridae.
GAUUUCUGGCGAACCGUUGCGGCCCGUGCUCAUUUUGGGCGUGUGUGCCGUGUCGUGUUUGUCAUCCUUCCAGAAAGCUGCGUCUACCAUUCACUUGUGAAUACAUUAGCAUGGAAUAAUAAUUUAGGACUUCGGUUCUAUUUUGUUGGUUUCUAGGACUGAAGUAAUGAUUGAUAGGGACAGUUGGGGGUGCUAGUAUUCCGCGGCCAGAGGUGAAAUUCUUGGCGGAAGACUAACUACUGCGAAAGCAUU